AGUCAUAGAAAAUCUCCAUUCCAUGAAUUUCUCUACUGUUUUCGACCUAAUCUGAAGCUACAUGACGUUUGGAGGUGUGUAGUGAUGAACUGUGAAGCUACAUGAAGUUUGGAGGUGUGUAGUGAUGAACUCUGAAGCUUCAUGAAGUUUGGAGGUGUGUAGUGAUGAACUGUGAAGCUACAUGAAGUUUGGAGGUGUGUAGUGAUGAACUCUGAAGCUACAUGAAGUUUGGAGGUGUGUAGUGAUGAUGAACUCUGAAGCUACAUGAAGUUUGGAGGUGUGUAGUGAUGAUGAACUCUGAAGCUACAUGAAGUUUGGAGGUGUGUAGUGAUGAUGAACUCUGAAGCUACAUGAAGUUUGGAGGUGUGUAGUGAUGAUGAACUCUGAAGCUACAUGAAGUUUGGAGGUGUGUAGUGAUGAACUCUGAAGCUACAUGAAGUUUGGAGGUGUGUAGUGAUGAACUCUGAAGCUUCAUGAAGUUUGGAGGUGUGUAGUGAUGAACUCUGAAGCUUCAUGAAGUUUGGAGGUGUGUAGUGAUGAACUCUGAAGCUACAUGAAGUUUGGAGGUGUGUAGUGAUGAACUCUGAAGCUUCAUGAAGUUUGGAGGUGUGUAGUGAUGAACUCUGAAGCUACAUGAAGUUUGGAGGUGUGUAGUGAUGAACU
Long non-coding RNA from Astyanax mexicanus (Mexican tetra), 663 nucleotides. RefSeq lists it as uncharacterized. The transcript has 3 exons. Lineage: Eukaryota; Metazoa; Chordata; Actinopteri; Characiformes; Acestrorhamphidae. The record is from RefSeq and is a predicted model, not a curated record.